RNAcentral lists this ribosomal RNA (459 nucleotides) under uncultured Acholeplasma sp. RNAcentral describes it as "bacterial SSU rRNA". It matches the Rfam family "Bacterial small subunit ribosomal RNA", at positions 918 to 1382 of the family's 1533-position model. Lineage: Bacteria; Bacillati; Mycoplasmatota; Mollicutes; Acholeplasmatales; Acholeplasmataceae. The record is from RNAcentral.
ACCCCGCACAAGCGGUGGAUCAUGUUGUUUAAUUCGAUGAUACGCGAAGAACCUUACCAGGUCUUGACAUCCCCCGCGAUGCUUUAGAGAUAAAGCGGAGGUAUUCGGGGAGACAGGUGGUGCAUGGUUGUCGUCAGCUCGUGUCGUGAGAUGUUGGGUUAAGUCCCGCAACGAGCGCAACCCCUAUUGCUAGUUACCAUCAUUAAGUUGGGGACUCUAGCGAGACUGCCAGUGAUAAACUGGAGGAAGGUGGGGAUGACGUCAAAUCAUCAUGCCCCUUAUGACCUGGGCUACAAACGUGAUACAAUGGCUGGAACAAAGGGAUGCGAAGCAGUGAUGUGGAGCGAAACCCAUAAAAACAGUCUCAGUUCGGAUUGAAGUCUGCAACUCGACUUCAUGGAGUCGGAAUCGCUAGUAAUCGCGGAUCAGAACGCCGCGGUGAAUACGUUCUCGGGGUUU